RNAcentral lists this transfer RNA (57 nucleotides) under Lamprigera yunnana. RNAcentral's name for it is "tRNA-Ser". Lineage: Eukaryota; Metazoa; Arthropoda; Insecta; Coleoptera; Lampyridae. The record is from RNAcentral.
GAAAUAUAUUAAGAAGCUUCUAACUUCUAAUAUAGCAAUAAAUUUGUUAGUAUUUCU